Molecule: ribosomal RNA, 438 nt
Filed under: Yersinia intermedia
Lineage: Bacteria; Pseudomonadati; Pseudomonadota; Gammaproteobacteria; Enterobacterales; Yersiniaceae
Description: bacterial SSU rRNA
Rfam family: Bacterial small subunit ribosomal RNA
Source: RNAcentral
CACAUGCAAGUCGAGCGGCAGCGGGAAGUAGUUUACUACUUUGCCGGCGAGCGGCGGACGGGUGAGUAAUGUCUGGGAAACUGCCUGAUGGAGGGGGAUAACUACUGGAAACGGUAGCUAAUACCGCAUGACCUCGCAAGAGCAAAGUGGGGGACCUUCGGGCCUCACGCCAUCGGAUGUGCCCAGAUGGGAUUAGCUAGUAGGUGGGGUAAUGGCUCACCUAGGCGACGAUCCCUAGCUGGUCUGAGAGGAUGACCAGCCACACUGGAACUGAGACACGGUCCAGACUCCUACGGGAGGCAGCAGUGGGGAAUAUUGCACAAUGGGCGCAAGCCUGAUGCAGCCAUGCCGCGUGUGUGAAGAAGGCCUUCGGGUUGUAAAGCACUUUCAGCGAGGAGGAAGGCAGUCGUGUUAAUAGCACGAUUGAUUGACGUUACU